Molecule: transfer RNA, 85 nt
Filed under: bacterium
Lineage: Bacteria
Description: tRNA-Ser
Rfam family: tRNA
About the family: Transfer RNA (tRNA) molecules are approximately 80 nucleotides in length.
Source: RNAcentral
GGAGGGUUCGCCUAAUGGUAUGGCACUUGCUUGGAAAGCAAGCGGGAGCAAUCCCUUACAGGUUCGAGUCCUGUACCCUCCGCCA